UUAAGGACAAGGCUAAUAUAUUACAUUCAUGUGAUCAAGUGUGCUAAUAUACUACAAUAUUAGUAAUAUACUAAUAUUGUAGUCCACUUAUAUAAUCUACACAAUCUCAAGUCAAAUUAGAUGUUGUCUGCUACAUAAUAUAGAUUAAUAGUCCAACUAUUACUAAUAUUGUAGUAUAUUAGCACACAAAUGUAUAUCAACUCCAGUUGAUCACAUGAAUGUAGUAUAUUAGCACACUUGAUCACAU
RNAcentral lists this long non-coding RNA (247 nucleotides) under Vitis vinifera (wine grape). Its description in RNAcentral is "long non-coding RNA (VVIN_LNC004139)". Lineage: Eukaryota; Viridiplantae; Streptophyta; Magnoliopsida; Vitales; Vitaceae. The record is from RNAcentral.